UGAUUAAUAGUUUAAAAAAAAUAUUUAAUUUGCAUUUAAAUGAUAUUAAAAAAUAAUUUAAUUUA
RNAcentral lists this transfer RNA (65 nucleotides) under Dolichogenidea sp. n. SNS-2016. Its description in RNAcentral is "tRNA-Ala". Lineage: Eukaryota; Metazoa; Arthropoda; Insecta; Hymenoptera; Braconidae. The record is from RNAcentral.